Molecule: ribosomal RNA, 536 nt
Filed under: uncultured soil bacterium
Lineage: Bacteria
Description: bacterial SSU rRNA
Rfam family: Bacterial small subunit ribosomal RNA
Source: RNAcentral
AGAGUUUGAUCCUGGCUCAGGACGAACGCUGGCGGCGUGCCUAAAACAUGCAAGUCGAACGAGGUAGCAAUACCUAGUGGCGAACGGCGGAGUAAUACGUGAACAACGUGCCCUAAAGACUGGGAUAUACGGCCGAAAGGCCGGGCAAUACCGGAUGUGGUGGAGACCUGGCAUCAGGAUUCCAUUAAAUGGUUUUUCGCUUUAGGAGCGGUUCACGGCCUAUCAGCUAGCUUGGUGGGGUAACGGCCUACCAAGGCUACGACGGGUAGGGGGUCUGAGAGGAUGACCCCCUCGAGUGGGACUGAGACACGGCCCACACACCUACGGGUGGCAGCAGUUGGGAAUCUUGCACAAUGGGGGAAACCCUGAUGCNAGCGACGCCGCGUGGAGGACGAAGGGUCUAGGCCUGUAAACUCCUUUUCUCGGGAAAGACUUACGGACCGGUACCCGAGGAAUAAGCACCGGCUAACUACGUGCCAGCAGCCGCGGUAAGACGUACNNGGUGCAAGCGUUGUCCGGAUUUACUGGGCGUCANA